Molecule: ribosomal RNA, 440 nt
Filed under: uncultured bacterium
Lineage: Bacteria
Description: partial 16S ribosomal RNA
Rfam family: Bacterial small subunit ribosomal RNA
Source: RNAcentral
CCUACGGGAGGCAGCAGUAGGGAAUAUUUCUCAAUGGGGGAAACCCUGAAGCAGCAACGCCGCGUGGAGGAUGAAGGUUUUCGGAUUGUACACUCCUUUUGUUAGAGACGAUAAUGACGUUAUCUAACGAAUAAGCACCGGCUAACUCCGUGCCAGCAGCCGCGGUAAUACGGAGGGUGCAAGCGUUACUGGGAACGACUGGGCGUAAGGAGAGCGUAGGCGGGUAAGCAAGUCAGAUGUGAAAUCUUAUGGAUUAACCAUAGAACUGAAUUUGAAACUGUUAUUCUAGAGUAUGGGAGAGGUAGGUGGAAUUCUUGGUGUAGGAGUAAAAUCCGUAGAGAUCAAGAGGAAUACUCAUUGCGAAGGCGACCUGCUAGAACAUAACUGACGCUGAUGCGCGAAAGCGUAGGGAGCAAACAGGAUUAGAUACCCUAGUAGUC